GGUUAAGCGACUAAGCGUACACGGUGGAUGCCCUGGCAGUCAGAGGCGAUGAAGGGCGUGCUAAUCUGCGAUAAGCGCCGGUAAGGUGAUAUGAACCGUUAUAACCGGCGAUACCCGAAUGGGGAAACCCAGUGUGACUCGUCACACUAUCAUUAACUGAAUCCAUAGGUUAAUGAGGCGAACCGGGGGAACUGAAACAUCUAAGUACCCCGAGGAAAAGAAAUCAACCGAGAUUCCCCCAGUAGCGGCGAGCGAACGGGGAGGAGCCCAGAGCCUGAAUCAGCAUGUGUGUUAGUGGAAGCGUCUGGAAAGGCGCGCGAUACAGGGUGACAGCCCCGUACACAAAAGCGCAUGUGCUGUGAGCUCGAUGAGUAGGGCGGGACACGUGGUAUCCUGUCUGAAUAUGGGGGGACCAUCCUCCAAGGCUAAAUACUCCUGACUGACCGAUAGUGAACCAGUACCGUGAGGGAAAGGCGAAAAGAACCCCGGCGAGGGGAGUGAAAAAGAACCUGAAACCGUGUACGUACAAGCAGUGGGAGCACAGGUUUACCUGUGUGACUGCGUACCUUUUGUAUAAUGGGUCAGCGACUUAUAUUCUGUAGCAAGGUUAACCGAAUAGGGGAGCCGGAGGGAAACCGAGUCUUAAUUGGGCGUUAAGUUGCAGGGUAUAGACCCGAAACCCGGUGAUCUAGCCAUGGGCAGGUUGAAGGUUGGGUAACACUAACUGGAGGACCGAACCGACUAAUGUUGAAAAAUUAGCGGAUGACCUGUGGCUGGGGGUGAAAGGCCAAUCAAACCGGGAGAUAGCUGGUUCUCCCCGAAAGCUAUUUAGGUAGCGCCUCGUGAAUUCAUCUCCGGGGGUAGAGCACUGUUUCGGCUAGGGGGCCAUCCCGGCUUACCAACCCGAUGCAAACUGCGAAUACCGGAGAAUGUUAUCACGGGAGACACACGGCGGGUGCUAACGUCCGUCGUGAAGAGGGAAACAACCCAGACCGCCAGCUAAGGUCCCAAAGUCAUGGUUAAGUGGGAAACGAUGUGGGAAGGCCCAGACAGCCAGGAUGUUGGCUUAGAAGCAGCCAUCAUUUAAAGAAAGCGUAAUAGCUCACUGGUCGAGUCGGCCUGCGCGGAAGAUGUAACGGGGCUAAACCAUGCACCGAAGCUGCGGCAGCGAACGUAUCACUUAAAGCGAUUCAGCGGGUUACGAUUGACGGAGCGAAGCGACGUCAAAGCGUAUACAAAGUCGAGUCGGUUUAAGGAUACGUUCGUUGGGUAGGGGAGCGUUCUGUAAGCCUGCGAAGGUGGCCUGUGAGGGUUGCUGGAGGUAUCAGAAGUGCGAAUGCUGACAUAAGUAACGAUAAAGCGGGUGAAAAGCCCGCUCGCCGGAAGACCAAGGGUUCCUGUCCAACGUUAAUCGGGGCAGGGUGAGUCGACCCCUAAGGCGAGGCCGAAAGGCGUAGUCGAUGGGAAACGGGUUAAUAUUCCCGUACUUGGUGUUACUGCGAAGGGGGGACGGAGAAGGCUAUGUUGGCCGGGCGACGGUUGUCCCGGUUUAAGCGUGUAGGUGUGUGUUCCAGGUAAAUCCGGUUCACUUUAACACUGAGGCGUGACGACGAGGCACUACGGUGCUGAAGCAACAAAUGCCCUGCUUCCAGGAAAAGCCUCUAAGCAUCAGGUAACAUCAAAUCGUACCCCAAACCGACACAGGUGGUCAGGUAGAGAAUACCAAGGCGCUUGAGAGAACUCGGGUGAAGGAACUAGGCAAAAUGGUGCCGUAACU
Molecule: ribosomal RNA, 1777 nt
Filed under: Salmonella enterica subsp. enterica serovar Brancaster
Lineage: Bacteria; Pseudomonadati; Pseudomonadota; Gammaproteobacteria; Enterobacterales; Enterobacteriaceae
Description: partial 23S ribosomal RNA
Rfam family: Bacterial large subunit ribosomal RNA
Source: RNAcentral